AAUGUCUCUGUCUAUAUUUCAGAUAUGGACAAAACCAUUCACACAGUCACAAGAUAUAAUGACAAUCAUGGUUCCACAAUGUGAAAUAGUCACCCAUGCUGGCAGGUUAUAUAUAGAGGUAAUUCUCAAAGUGUGCUCCAGGAAGUUCUUGGGAUCUCUGUGGAGUCAAAACUACUUUCAAGGAUGGAUGUUGCCAAUAGAGAAGUAUCACCUUCUUUCAAAUCUUCUUCCAUUGAAAAAGUUAUCUGCAAGAGUCAAGAUGGCAACUUAGAAGCAGCAAAAGUUCAGACCUCCAAAUGCCCUUCCUCACCAAUCAAAAACACAAUGCUUCAAGGGGACUAAAAACCAAAUUAAACAACAGGAAAGAGCUAGGGAAACCUCCUGCUGGACUCAGCUUAAACGGUAUGCCUCCACGCCCCCCCCCCAAAAAAAAAGUCUGAAUUCUAGAACACACUGGUUUAAAGGGAAGGAAAAAGGAAGUUCCCAGGACCCCUCCCCCACCUACAGAGCUGAACCUCCAGUGGUGGCUGGGAUCUCUGGGUAGGGAAGUGAAUCCUGAGGGAGUACGUUGCUGACAAAGCUAUGCCAGCUUUAGAGUGUUGAACACAGGUGGCAGAGAGACACCUGGAGACGAAGUGCAGAGAAGGCAGUCUACUUGCAGCCAAGACAUCAAUCUUGCUGCCCUUAUUGAGAUUUUCGUCUCAGAACACAGUCAGCUCUGCAGAUCAAUUCUUCCCUGGCUCAAUCUGAUCAAUAGGUUAGAAAAGAAGCCUUUAGAGGGCAGAGAAGCUCAGCUUCCAAUAACCCCCCAGGCUGCCCUGAGAACCUUGGUGACUAAGCUCCAAGGGCAAGGGUUGCAACCACUAUAGGCUACAACCUUGAUAACAGGGUGGGAAGCCCCACUCCUUUUCAACUGAUGCUAUCAACUGGUGAAGAUCUGACCUCAGGACUCAUUAACACCAUCAGACACUAGAGCAAAAAAGAAAAGUAGAAAUUGAAAGAAUCCAUAGAUCACCUCCUGUACUUAAUCCUCAAUUGACAAUCCUCAGGAAUGUUAUAGCCAAAUUCAAGAACUAACAAACCAAGGAAAAAGUAUUGCAAGCUGCUAAGAAUUAGUCAUUCAGAUACAGUUAGGAUAACACAGGAUCUGUCCUCAUCUACACUGAAGGACUGAAAGGAAUGGAAUAUAAUAUUCUAGAAAGCAAGGAAAAUAGGUCUACAACCAAGAAUCAACUAACAGGAAACUGACUAUAUUCUUGCAGGGAAAGUAUGUUCAUGUAACAAAAUAAAGACUUCCAAGCAUUCA
Molecule: long non-coding RNA, 1306 nt
Filed under: Monodelphis domestica (gray short-tailed opossum)
Lineage: Eukaryota; Metazoa; Chordata; Mammalia; Didelphimorphia; Didelphidae
Description: lncRNA (ENSMODG00000042378.1)
Source: RNAcentral